This 420-nucleotide ribosomal RNA is filed under the name uncultured Tolypothrix sp. RNAcentral's name for it is "bacterial SSU rRNA". It matches the Rfam family "Bacterial small subunit ribosomal RNA", at positions 356 to 790 of the family's 1533-position model. The record is from RNAcentral. Lineage: Bacteria; Bacillati; Cyanobacteriota; Cyanophyceae; Nostocales; Tolypothrichaceae.
GGGGAAUUUUCCGCAAUGGGCGAAAGCCUGACGGAGCAAUACCGCGUGAGGGAGGAAGGCUCUUGGGUUGUAAACCUCUUUUCUCAAGGAAGAAAAAAAUGACGGUACUUGAGGAAUAAGCAUCGGCUAACUCCGUGCCAGCAGCCGCGGUAAUACGGAGGAUGCAAGCGUUAUCCGGAAUGAUUGGGCGUAAAGCGUCCGCAGGUGGCGAUGUAAGUCUGCUGUUAAAGAGUCUGGCUCAACCAGAUAAAGGCAGUGGAAACUACAUGGCUAGAGUGCGUUCGGGGCAGAGGGAAUUCCUGGUGUAGCGGUGAAAUGCGUAGAGAUCAGGAAGAACACCGGUGGCGAAAGCGCUCUGCUAGGCCGCAACUGACACUGAGGGACGAAAGCUAGGGGAGCGAAUGGGAUUAGAUACCCCAG